UACGUAGGGCGCGAGCGUUGUCCGGAAUUAUUGGGCGUAAAGAGCUCGUAGGCGGCCUGUUGCGUCCGCUGUGAAAUCCCGGGGCUCAACCCCUGGGCGUGCAGUGGAUACGGGCUGGCUAGAGGCAGGCAGGGGAGAACGGAAUUCCUGGUGUAGCGGUGGAAUGCGCAGAUAUCAGGAGGAACACCAAUGGCGAAGGCAGAUCUCUGGGCCGUAACUGACGCUGAGGAGCGAAAGCAUGGGGAGCGAACAGG
Molecule: ribosomal RNA, 254 nt
Filed under: uncultured bacterium
Lineage: Bacteria
Description: partial 16S ribosomal RNA
Rfam family: Bacterial small subunit ribosomal RNA
Source: RNAcentral